Molecule: non-coding RNA, 151 nt
Filed under: uncultured Gemella sp.
Lineage: Bacteria; Bacillati; Bacillota; Bacilli; Caryophanales; Gemellaceae
Description: glmS glucosamine-6-phosphate activated ribozyme
Rfam family: glmS glucosamine-6-phosphate activated ribozyme aptamer
About the family: This entry contains a glucosamine-6-phosphate activated ribozyme that is found in the mRNA for GlmS. GlmS is an enzyme that uses fructose-6-phosphate and glutamine to generate glucosamine-6-phosphate. The ribozyme catalyses self cleavage of the glmS mRNA that is thought to regulate GlmS activity.
Source: RNAcentral
AUAUAAUUACAGCGCCCGAACUGAGGUUAGACGAUUAAAUUAACCUUAGUUGACGAGGAAAAAAGUUAUCGAAAAUUCGGCGGAUGCUUUUUCGGAAUUUAGAGUUUCGUUAAGUAGCAUACAAAAGUAUACUAGCGUAUAAACAAAAAUG